This is an RNA transcript of Rhinopithecus roxellana (golden snub-nosed monkey), 4641 nucleotides long. It is a transcript of the gene named EvC ciliary complex subunit 2, with no coding region annotated. The transcript is spliced from 24 exons. Lineage: Eukaryota; Metazoa; Chordata; Mammalia; Primates; Cercopithecidae. The record is from RefSeq and is a predicted model, not a curated record.
GCUCCGGCGACUCGGCAGCACCCGCCGCUUUGAGGUAGCGGGUCCGGCAGGCGAUGGGCCCCUUGGGCUCCUGGGGGCGCGCCAUGUGGGUGCUGGCCGGGGGCCUCCUGGCGGUAGCCCUGGCGUUGGGGGACCGAGGCUGGCUCGGCGCCAGCUCAGGUCCCCGCUGGCGCCCCGUCGCCGCGCAGCCACCUCGGCAUCCCCAGGUGGCUCCCGGGUCUGGGCCUGGCCUGAGGACUCCUCCCGGGCGGAGCGGGGUGGGGCCCGAGAGCAGCACGCAGGACUUGCCCCGUAUGGUUUGGUCCAAAGUAGAAUGCUGUCACUUUAGGACUGCAGUGGAAGCACCACUUGGAAUGAAAUUGGACAAGAAAAUGGAAGUCUUGAUCCCAGUCUCAACCUCUGCAGCUUCUAGUGGGCCAUGGGCUCAUUCCUUAUUUGCUUUUAUACCGUCCUGGCCUAAGAAGAACUUAUUUAAAAGAGAGUCUCCUAUAACACACCGCCUGUAUGGGGACAUUUCAAGAGAAGUUCAAGGGACUUCUGAGAAUGGAGUAAUUUUUCAGAAAUGUGCACUGGUGUCUGGGCCAAGCGAAGCACAGACAGCCCACGUAUGGCUGCUUGUUAACAACACCAAGACACCCUCGUCAGCCAACCUCUCGGAGCUUCUCUUGCUGGACAGCAUCGCUGGUCUCACCGUUCGGGAUUCCAUCGGAAACAGGACCUCGGAAGGAUUCCAGGCUUUUAGCAAGAAGUUUCUGCAAGUGGGAGAUGCUUUUGCUGUCAGCUAUACAGCCACGCUGCAGGCUGGAGACCUCGAGAACGGGGAGAGCCUCAAGCUUCCUGCCCAACUCACCUUUCAGAGCUCGUCACAGAACAGAACACAGCUGAAAGCGCUUUUUUCCAUAACAGCAGAAGAAAGCAUAACGGUUCUGCCGCACCAUGGCCUCCAUGCAGCGGGGUUCUUCAUUGCCUUCCUCCUCUCCCUUGUGCUGACCUGGGCUGCCCUCUUCCUCAUGGUUCACUAUCAGUGUCUGAAGGGAAGCAUACUCACCAGACAUCGGGUUUGGCAGUACGACAGCAAGCUGGAACCCUUGCCGUUCACCUCAGCUGAUGGCGUGAAUGAGGACCUUUCCCUUAACGACCAAAUGGUAGACAUUCUGUCUUCCGAGGACCCUGGGAGUAUGCUUCAAGCCUUAGAAGAGUUGGAGAUUGCAACCCUGAAUCGGGCAGAUGCAGAUCUGGAGGCUUGUCGAACACAAAUCAGCAAGGAUAUCAUUGCCCUUCUACUGAAAAAUCUCACCAACAGUGGCCACCUCUCACCCCAAGUAGAGAGAAAAAUGAGUGAUGUUUUCAAAAAGCAGUUUAUGUUGCUGGAAAAUGAAAUACAAGAGGAGUACGAUCGGAAGAUGGUGGCAUUGACAGCUGAAUGUGACCUGGAAACAAGAAAGAAGAUGGAAAACCAGUACCAGAGAGAGAUGGUGGCAAUGGAGGAAGCAGAAGAGCUGCUGAAACGUGCUAGUGAGAGGUCUGCUGUAGAGUGCAACAGCCUUCUGCGGACCCUCCAUGGCCUGGAACAGGAGCACUUGAGGAAGUCUCUCGCUUUGCGGCAAGAAGAAGACUUUGCCAAAGCUCACAGACAGCUAGCUGUUUUCCAGAGAAACGAACUGCACCGUAUCUUUUUUACCCAGAUAAAAAGUGCUAUUUUCAAAGGGGAAUUGAAGCCAGAGGCGGCUAAAACGCUGCUGCAAAAUUAUUCUAAAAUACAGGAGAAUGUAGAAGAGUUAAUGGACUUUUUCCAGGCUAGUAAGAGGUAUCAUCUAAGUAAAAGGUUUGGCCACAGGGAAUAUCUCGUUCAGAACCUCCAGUCAUCAGAGACCCGUGUGCAGGGCCUUCUGAGCACCGCUGCAGCCCAGCUGACUCACCUCAUUCAGAAGCACGAGAGAGCAGGGUACCUGGAUGAAGACCAAAUGGAAAUGCUAUUGGAGCGGGCUCAGACAGAAGUCUUUUCAAUCAAGCAGAAAUUGGACAAUGACUUAAAGCAGGAAAAGAAAAAACUCCACCAAAAAUUAAUAACUAAGAGAAGACGAGAGUUACUACAAAAGCACAGGGAGCAGCGGAGGGAGCAGCUCUCCAUCAGCGAGGCCUUCCAAGCAGUUGAGGAUGCCGUCCAGUACCUGCACCAGUGGAGGAGCCUGAUGGAGGAGCAGGGCACCGCCCUGGAGGAGCUGCAGGAGCGUCUGGACCAAGCUGCCCUGGACAAUCUCAGGGCCCUGACCCUCUCACUGUUUGAGAAGGCCACCGAUGAGCUGCGGCGCCUGCAGAACUCAGCCAUGACCCAGGAGCUGCUCAAGCGCAGCGUGCCCUGGCUCUUCCUGCAGCAGAUACUGGAGGAGCAUGGCAAGGAGAUGGCUGUGCGGGCCGAGCAGCUGGAGGGGGAGGAGAGGGACAGGGACCAGGAGGGUGUCCAGAGCGUGAGGCAGAGACUGAAGGACGAUGCUCCUGAGGCUGCGACAGAGGAGCAGGCGGAGCUGAGACGCUGGGAGCACCUGGUCUUCAUGAAGCUCUGCUCCUCAGUCUUCUCCCUGUCUGAAGAGGAGCUGCUCAGGAUGAGGCAGGAGGUCCAUGGCUGCUUUGCUCAGAUGGACAGGAGCUUGGCCCUCCCCAAAAUCCGGGCCCGAGUUCUGCUGCAGCAAUUUCAGACUGCGUGGCGAGAAGCAGAGUUCCUGAAGCUGGACCAGGCCCUGGCUGCCCCCGAGCUGCAGCAACAGUCCAAGGUGAGAAAGUCACGGUCCAAGAGUAAAAGCAAGGGAGAGCUUCUGAAGAAGUGCAUCGAAGACAAAAUUCACCUCUGUGAGGAACAGGCUUCUGAAGACCUGGUGGAAAAGGUUCGAGGUGAAUUGCUGCGGGAGAGAGUGCAGCGGCUGGAGGCACAGGAGGGAGGCUUUGCACAGUCGCUUGUUGCUCUGCAGUUCCAGAAGGCGGCCCGGGUGACCGAGACCCUGUCAGCCUACACCGCCCUCCUCAGCAUCCAGGACUUGCUCCUGGAAGAGCUGAGUGCAUCUGAGAUGCUGACCAAGUCGGCCUGCACGCAGAUCCUGGAAUCGCACAGCCGGGAGCUCCAGGAGCUGGAGAGGAAGCUGGAGGACCAGCUGGUGCAGCAGGAGGCGGUCCAGCAGCAGCAGGCCCUGGCGAGCUGGCAGCAGUGGGUGGCCGAUGGGCCCGGGAUUCUGAACGAACCUGGGGAGGUGGAUUCUGAAAGACAGGUGUCUGCUGUCUUGCAGCAAGCCCUGAGCAAGAGCCAGACGUUACUGGAGCAACAUCAGCAGAGUUUGAGAGAGGAGCAACAGAACAGUGUCGUGCUAGAAGACUUGUUGGAAAAUAUGGAGGCAGACACCUUCACAACCCUGUGCAGCCAGGAGCUGAGACUGACAUCGUACCUGGCGAGGAUGGCUGUGGUGCCCGGGGCCACGCUUAGCCGGCUCCUGAGUGUGGUGCUGCCCACAGCCUCACAGCCUCAGCUGCUGGCCCUGCUGGAUUCGGGUAGUGAGAGACAUCCGGACCACGCAGCUGAGAGUGAUGGAGGAGCGGAGCAGGCCGACGUGGGCAGGCGGAGGAAACACCAGAGCUGGUGGCAAGCCUUCGACAGCAAACUGCGAGGAGAUCUGAUAAGCAGAGGAUUAGAAAAGAUGCUGUGGGCCCACAAGAGAAAGCAGAGCAUAUUAAAGAAGACGUGUCUCCCUCUCAGAGAGAGGAUGAUAUUCUCUGGAAAAGGAAGUUGGCCACACCUGUCACUGGAGCCCAUUGGCAAACUGGCUCCUGUACCCAUUGUCGGGGCAGAAACCAUUGAUGUAUUAAACACAGGAGAGAAGCUCUUUAUAUUCAGAAAUCCAAAGGAGCCAGAGAUUUCACUGCAUGUUCCUCCCAGGAGAAAGAAGAACUUUCUGAAUGCCAAAAAGGCCAUGAGGGCCUUGGGUAUGGACUAGCCCAAGGGAAAGCCAGCAUCUGAAGACAGAAGGGAUUAUUUUCUCCUGCCCACCAGUGUUGUCUGUUUAUAAUGUACAACUCACAAAUAUAAAUUGCACAUGCAGAAGGCACAGACCCCCCAACGCAUGCAGACUUUCACUGGACUCAGUUUAAUCUUGUCUCACGAAUUUCCAGAUGGCCCACUCUCCUCCGUAUCACAAGGACAUAAACACUUCUUCCUUUCAGCCGCACCUCUCCAGGGCCCUGGAGGAGACCCCCAGCCUGCGAUCCACACCCCAUCCUCCGCUGCGCAAGGGGACAGCAACCGUGCACCGUCUUCAGUUGCCACUUGACUACAUGGCUACAUUGGCAGGAAGGUGCAGGUAAACAGUUUGAAUGCAGGAGAGAAGAGAUGAUAGUGCCAGUUUUCCCAUCCAUCAGAAGGUCCAGCAGCCUCGACUGAGGACAGAGAAAGAGGAGUGAUUUUUACACACAGGGCAGCAGAGUGGAGAAUGCAUGGUCUUGGGAAUAAGCAGACUGGAGUUCUCAUCCUGCACCACUGCUUGACGGUCAUGUGUUCUUGGCAAGCAGAUACAAUUGGAUCUAUAAAGUCCACCACAUCUAUGUCCUUCUCUAGCUUUUUAAGGUGAAGCCUGUUUUCUUGAAGGGCUGUAUCUUCAC